This is a transfer RNA of Ovis aries (sheep), 72 nucleotides long. It matches the Rfam family "tRNA". Rfam says of the family: Transfer RNA (tRNA) molecules are approximately 80 nucleotides in length. The record is from Rfam. Lineage: Eukaryota; Metazoa; Chordata; Mammalia; Artiodactyla; Bovidae.
UCCCUGGUAGCCCAGUGGUUAGGACUCAGCUCUUUCUCUGUUGUGGCCCAGGUUCAAACCCUGAUCAGGGAA